CCUGCAGGAGAAGAUUCCUGGAGACCCCGAUCGUUGCUGGAGACUGCUGUAUCCUGGGUGUUUGAAAGAAAACAUUGUGAUGCGUUAUCAAAUUAACAGUUCGCUGGCUGAGAUCCUAUUGUUUUUAGAGCUGAAGUAGUUAAUGUAACCAGCCCUUUAGCUUGAAGAAACCAUCCGCAAUGACGAAAUGAAUGCUUGGACAGAAGCCAAAGGAAAAUAUAAUCUAUAUAUUCUACAAAUGUUCAGCUCGGAGCCAAGAGAAGAAAGCGAGACAUCCGAGCGCAUGACUAGAGCUCCUGAUAAAAUUGAUUGGCUGUGAUUGCAUUACCAGAGGCUGUGCGCGAACAUCAUGCAAAGGGUUAUUUGAGGAUAGGAGCCAGCCAGAGAGGUGGGUUAGGGAGUUACAACUUCUGCUCUGGUUUCUUUAUGACUCUGCGGCAGUGGGUUCCAUUCCUAGCUAAGUCUUUCUUGGCUCAGUUCCCUUGGAAUGAAUGCACUGGUGUUUAUAGGCAAAGUGCAGUGGUGAUUUAUAGGAAGCCUUUGUGAUGUUUUCUCCGAUAAGCUUUUAGGUAAAUGCAGAGAUCUUAAUAUGUCUUUAAAAACAGCAAUUGUCACUUUCUAAAUGAUCUUUAUUUUUCUUUACAAAACAGCUGUUAUUAUGAAUGAAGGAAUCAACUUUGCAGGACUGAGCAGAACGGAUUCCUACAUCUAUAAGAUCUCCUCUAGAGCAGUGAUGUUUUGGGGCUGUCGCUGGGCAACACGGACUUUCAACUCCCUCCAAAGGUUUUCUAUGGGGUUGAGAUCUGGAGGCUGGCUAGGCCACUCUAGGACCUUGAAAUGUUUCUUACGAAGCCACUCCUUCGUUGCCCGGCGGUGUGUUUGCGAUCAUUGUCCUGCUGAAAGACCCAGCCACAUUUCAUCUUCUGUGCCCCUGCUGAUGGAAGGAGGUUUUCACUCAAAAUCUCACGAUACAUGGCUCCAUUCAUUCUUUCCUUUAUACGAAUCAAUCGGUUUUUUUUUACUAUGUAAUGCAUGCCUUUAUUCCUUUUUUAUGAAGUUUGUAUAUAUUCUUAAUGUGGAUGUCUGAUUUUAAUGUUAUUCCUUAACUUUUCCUACCAUGUGAUAUGUGCCUGGCUGGCUCCUCCCACAACAUAAUGGAAUUGGUGCCUUUUUUUUGUACCUAUUUAAACCUGUCUGUACCUACUGUAUGCAUACUGAUCUGAAGAAGGGGAUGGCUCCCC
Hyla sarda is the source of this 1241-nucleotide long non-coding RNA. RefSeq lists it as uncharacterized. Lineage: Eukaryota; Metazoa; Chordata; Amphibia; Anura; Hylidae. The transcript has 3 exons. The record is from RefSeq and is a predicted model, not a curated record.